Molecule: ribosomal RNA, 421 nt
Filed under: uncultured Glomeraceae
Lineage: Eukaryota; Fungi; Glomeromycota; Glomeromycetes; Glomerales; Glomeraceae
Description: SSU rRNA
Rfam family: Eukaryotic small subunit ribosomal RNA
Source: RNAcentral
GGGAGGUAGUGACAAUAAAUAACAAUACAGGGCUUUCAAGUCUUGUAAUUGGAAUGAGUACAAUUUAAAUCCCUUAACGAGGAACAAUUGGAGGGCAAGUCUGGUGCCAGCAGCCGCGGUAAUUCCAGCUCCAAUAGCGUAUAUUAAAGUUGUUGCAGUUAAAAAGCUCGUAGUUGAAUUUCGGGAUCAGCAGGUUGGUCGUGCCACUGGUAUGCACUGGCUUUGCUGGUUCCUCCUUUCUGAAGAACUGUAAUGCCAUUAAUUUGGUGUUGCAGGGAAACAGGACUGUUACUUUGAAAAAAUUAGAGUGUUUAAAGCAAGCUAACGCUUGAAUACAUUAGCAUGGAAUAAUGAAAUAGGACGUUCGAUCCUAUUUUGUUGGUUUCUAGGAUUGACGUAAUGAUUAAUAGGGAUAGUUGGG